GUGAGGAAUAUUGGUCAAUGGGCGGGAGCCUGAACCAGCCAAGUCGCGUGAAGGAAGAAGGAUCUAUGGUUCGUAAACUUCUUUUGCAGGGGAAUAAAGUGCAGGACGUGUCCUGUUUUGUAUGUACCCUGAGAAUAAGGAUCGGCUAACUCCGUGCCAGCAGCCGCGGUAAUACGGAGGAUCCGAGCGUUAUCCGGAUUUAUUGGGUUUAAAGGGUGCGUAGGUGGUUUGAUAAGUCAGCGGUGAAAGUUUGCAGCUUAACUGGAAAAAUGCCGUUGAAACUGUCGGACUUGAGUGUAAAUGAGGUAGGCGGAAUGCGUGGUGUAGCGGUGAAAUGCAUAGAUAUCACGCAGAACUCCGAUUGCGAAGGCAGCUUACUAAGCUACAACUGACACUGAAGCACGAAAGCGUGGGGAUCAAACAGGAUUAGAAACCCUGGUAGUCC
This 445-nucleotide ribosomal RNA is filed under the name uncultured bacterium. RNAcentral describes it as "partial 16S ribosomal RNA". It matches the Rfam family "Bacterial small subunit ribosomal RNA", at positions 354 to 796 of the family's 1533-position model. The record is from RNAcentral.